GGACUACACGGGUAUCUAAUCCUGUUUGCUCCCCACGCUUUCGCGCCUGAGCGUCAGCAGUCGGCCAGGGCACUGCCUUCGCCAUUGGUGUUCUUCCGGAUCUCUACGCAUUUCACCGCUCCACCCGGAGUUCCAUGCCCCUCUCCGACGCUCAAGCCGACCCGUUUGCCUGGACCUCUCCCGGUUAAGCCGAGAGCUUUCACCAGACACGCGAUCGGCCGCCUGCGCGCCCUUUACGCCCAAUAAUUCCGGACAACGCUCGUCUCCUACGUAUUACCGCGGCUGCUGGCAC
This 292-nucleotide ribosomal RNA is filed under the name uncultured bacterium. RNAcentral describes it as "partial 16S ribosomal RNA". The record is from RNAcentral.